Molecule: ribosomal RNA, 407 nt
Filed under: uncultured haloarchaeon
Lineage: Archaea; Methanobacteriati; Methanobacteriota; Halobacteria; Halobacteriales; Halobacteriaceae
Description: bacterial SSU rRNA
Rfam family: Archaeal small subunit ribosomal RNA
Source: RNAcentral
ACACCCAACAAGGGCUGGCCAAGACCGGUGCCAGCCCGCCGCGGUAAUACCGGCAGCCCGAGUGAUGGCCCGAUCUUAUUGGGCCUAAAGCGUCCGUAGCUGGCUGCGCAAGUCCGUCGGGAAAUCCACUCGCCCAACGAGUGGGCGUCCGACGGAAACUGCACAGCUUGGGACCGGAAGGCUCGAAGGGUACGUUCGGGGUAGGAGUGAAAUCCCAUAAUCCCGCACGGACCACCGAUGGCGAAAGCACUUCGAGAAAACGGAUCCGACAGUGAGGGACGAAAGCCAGGGUCUCCAACCGGAUUAGAUACCCGGGUAGUCCUGGCUGUAAACAAUGUUCGCUAGGUAUGACACAGACUACGCGUCUCUGUGUGCCGUAGGAAGCCGAGAAGCGAACCGCCUGGGAA